Molecule: long non-coding RNA, 1929 nt
Organism: Marmota monax (woodchuck)
Lineage: Eukaryota; Metazoa; Chordata; Mammalia; Rodentia; Sciuridae
Exons: 5
Source: RefSeq, a predicted model, not a curated record
ACUAGGAAAUCUCUGUCAGUUAGAGAAAUGUCUUCUGUUAGAAGACAAUUGGAUUCUCAUAUCUAAUUUUGCAUCCAGUCUCUUGUGAUAUUACACAUCAUGUAGCCUCUGGAAAAUGGUUAUGUAUACUUGAGAAAAUGAGUGUAGGGAACCUAUGGUUUGGAUAUGAUUUGAUUGCAUUCCCCAAAGGUUCAUGUGCUGGAAGCUUGGUACCAAUAUGGUAAGUAGUGUUGAGUUGGAUCCUUUAAGACAUCGUGCCAGAGGAUUGUGGUUAGAUCAUAGGGCCUCUACCCUCAGAAGGACAUAAUAUUAGUUUCAAGGAGUGAGUGAGAUUUUGUAAGAGUAAUUUGUUAUGAAGUGAGGACGCCCAAUGUGCUGGGUCCUUUUGGUCUUCUCUAUUGUAUUGUGGUGCAGCAGGAGGAACCUUGCCCUAUGUUCUCAGACCACCAGAACUUGGAAUCCAGAGCUCAAUGUGUCUCUUUAUAAAGUACUCUGGUUAUUUUGUUACAGUAGCAUAAAACAGAAUGAUACAGUGAAAAAGGCAAAUAAUACUUUAACAAUAUUAUGAAAAUAUUUUUGACCUCAAAAAGGUCUCAAAAGAAACAGAUUUCCCAAACCAUACUUUGAGAAUGCUUAGUUGAGAAUUUUCUGGUGAAAAUUAAUUUUUUUUUUACUUUUCUUUUUUAAAACAAGGAUAUUUAUUUUAGGGAGGUUCCCAUUUCUUUUUUUCCACAUUUUUUAUUGGUGCAUUACAGCUGUACACAAUGAUGGGAUUUGUUGAUACAUAUUCAUACAUACACACAAUAUAAUUAUAUAUUUUGGCCAAUAUUACUUCUCAGCACUUCUCCCCUUCUUCCCCUCCUUCCACCCCUUGGUCCUUUUCUUCUGUUCUACUUAUCUCCUUUUGAUUUUCAUGAGACACCCACCCUAACCUUUCUGUUCAAAACAAGGAUAUUUAAUACCCAUAAAAAUAAAAGGUGACUAUGGCUUCUCAUUCAUCAUUAAAGUUAAUGAUUUGAAGAGUUGGUAGUUUAACAUCAGUAGCUCUUGGAAAAUCUAUUUACUUUGAAUUUUUUUCCUUCAAACUUUGACCUUGCUGGUAAGUACACUUCUACUUAAAUGCUAUUUAUUCCUUUUAAAAGAGCAAAAAGAAAAAUUGUAUUUUUUAAAAAAUCCUAUUUUUGAUUUUUCUUCUUUAAUUGAGCCUUUUUCUCAAUAGAAACACACUUGGUCCUGUGUAUCUGUGGAUUCUGCAUCUGUGGAUUCAACCAAUCUCAGCUCAAAGCACCUGUAGCUGGUCCGGCUGCCCGCAUCCAAGAAGUGACAGAUGGAUAACUUCAUCUAAACAAACUUUUUAGUUUUGAAAAGUGCUCGUAGAUCUUUUAUACACAUUCAUCCCAAUUUCAAACAUGGAGUCAUUUAGAAAAGCUCAAGUAUGUACUUGUUACCCUACAUGGAGAAUCAUUGGGGUGGCAAAGUAAUCUGCUUAUUCUCUGUCCUGGCUCCCAUUUUACUUCAUUGGACAACAACCUUUACAGAGGUUUUUCAGGGAGGCCUUUCCAUAAUCUGGCUUUGACCUGCUUUCUCACCUGGCCACCAUUGUCUACCUACCCAUGUCUGUGCACAGAGUCAGCAGCAGCAGCAGCAGCAGCAGCAGCAGCGGGCCAGAGAAUUCUUUGAGAGGCAACAUGGCUAUAAAUCAGCAAGUCCUGUGAACGUGCAUUCCAGGGUCUUGGAGGAAAAGCCUGCACACAAAAGCACCUCUUCUGAGUCUUCAGGAAUGCUGUGAAGUGAUGCCAGAAGUUUCAGUAGCCAUAGCAAUGAACACCAAGAUAAAAAGCCAAUAACCAAAGAUGGAAUACAGUGGUCAGAAAGAACCUGGGUUCUUGAUGAUACCAUAGAGUACUGAACUGCUAGACUUCUUAUUAG